GAGGUUAAGCGACUAAGCGUACACGGUGGAUGCCCUGGCAGUCAGAGGCGAUGAAGGGCGUACUAAUCUGCGAUAAGCGCCGGUAAGGUGAUAUGAACCGUUAUAACCGGCGAUACCCGAAUGGGGAAACCCAGUGUGAUUCGUCACACUAUCAUUAACUGAAUCCAUAGGUUAAUGAGGCGAACCGGGGGAACUGAAACAUCUAAGUACCCCGAGGAAAAGAAAUCAACCGAGAUUCCCCCAGUAGCGGCGAGCGAACGGGGAGGAGCCCAGAGCCUGAAUCAGCAUGUGUGUUAGUGGAAGCGUCUGGAAAGGCGCGCGAUACAGGGUGACAGCCCCGUACACAAAAGCGCAUGUGCUGUGAGCUCGAUGAGUAGGGCGGGACACGUGGUAUCCUGUCUGAAUAUGGGGGGACCAUCCUCCAAGGCUAAAUACUCCUGACUGACCGAUAGUGAACCAGUACCGUGAGGGAAAGGCGAAAAGAACCCCGGCGAGGGGAGUGAAAAAGAACCUGAAACCGUGUACGUACAAGCAGUGGGAGCACCCUUUGGGUGUGACUGCGUACCUUUUGUAUAAUGGGUCAGCGACUUAUAUUCUGUAGCAAGGUUAACCGAAUAGGGGAGCCGGAGGGAAACCGAGUCUUAACCGGGCGUUAAGUUGCAGGGUAUAGACCCGAAACCCGGUGAUCUAGCCAUGGGCAGGUUGAAGGUUGGGUAACACUAACUGGAGGACCGAACCGACUAAUGUUGAAAAAUUAGCGGAUGACCUGUGGCUGGGGGUGAAAGGCCAAUCAAACCGGGAGAUAGCUGGUUCUCCCCGAAAGCUAUUUAGGUAGCGCCUCGUGAAUUCAUCUCCGGGGGUAGAGCACUGUUUCGGCUAGGGGGCCAUCCCGGCUUACCAACCCGAUGCAAACUGCGAAUACCGGAGAAUGUUAUCACGGGAGACACACGGCGGGUGCUAACGUCCGUCGUGAAGAGGGAAACAACCCAGACCGCCAGCUAAGGUCCCAAAGUCAUGGUUAAGUGGGAAACGAUGUGGGAAGGCCCAGACAGCCAGGAUGUUGGCUUAGAAGCAGCCAUCAUUUAAAGAAAGCGUAAUAGCUCACUGGUCGAGUCGGCCUGCGCGGAAGAUGUAACGGGGCUAAACCAUG
Molecule: ribosomal RNA, 1150 nt
Filed under: Salmonella enterica subsp. enterica serovar Enteritidis
Lineage: Bacteria; Pseudomonadati; Pseudomonadota; Gammaproteobacteria; Enterobacterales; Enterobacteriaceae
Description: partial 23S ribosomal RNA
Rfam family: Bacterial large subunit ribosomal RNA
Source: RNAcentral